GGCGGUUCUUGGGUGAUGCACCCUGGAAUCAGGCUCCCUCCUCUCUGGUUUUGGGUGCAUCACCUGAGAACCACA
Myotis davidii is the source of this 75-nucleotide non-coding RNA. Lineage: Eukaryota; Metazoa; Chordata; Mammalia; Chiroptera; Vespertilionidae. The record is from Rfam.